Molecule: ribosomal RNA, 440 nt
Filed under: uncultured bacterium
Lineage: Bacteria
Description: partial 16S ribosomal RNA
Rfam family: Bacterial small subunit ribosomal RNA
Source: RNAcentral
CCUACGGGAGGCAGCAGUGGGGAAUAUUGGACAAUGGGGGCAACCCUGAUCCAGCGACGCCGCGUGAGUGAAGAAGUAUUUCGGUACGUAAAGCUCUAUCAGCAGGAAAGAAAAUGACGGUACCUGACUAAGAAGCCGCGGCUAACUACGUGCCAGCAGCCGCGGUAAUACGUAGGGGGCAAGCGUUAUCCGGAUUUACUGGGUGUAAAGGGAGCGUAGACGGCAGCGCAAGUCUGGAGUGAAAUGCCGGGGGCCAACCCCGGAACUGCUCUGGAAACUGUGAAGCUGGAGUGCAGGAGAGGUAAGCGGAAUUCCUGGUGUAGCGGUGAAAUGCGUAGAUAUCAGGAGGAACACCGGCGGCGAAGGCGGCUUACUGGACUGUAACUGACGUUGAGGCUCGAAGGCGUGGGGAGCAAACAGGAUUAGAUACCCCAGUAGUC